UAAGCAGACCCAGCAGUUG
RNAcentral lists this unclassified non-coding RNA (19 nucleotides) under Mus musculus (house mouse). RNAcentral describes it as "oocyte_clustered_small_RNA11881". The record is from RNAcentral. Lineage: Eukaryota; Metazoa; Chordata; Mammalia; Rodentia; Muridae.